This 254-nucleotide ribosomal RNA is filed under the name uncultured bacterium. Its description in RNAcentral is "partial 16S ribosomal RNA". It matches the Rfam family "Bacterial small subunit ribosomal RNA", at positions 524 to 776 of the family's 1533-position model. The record is from RNAcentral.
UACAGAGGUCUCAAGCGUUGUUCGGAUUCAUUGGGCGUAAAGGGUGCGUAGGUGGCGCCGUAAGUCAGGUGUGAAAUUUCGGAGCUUAAACUCCGAAACUGCAUUUGAUACUGCGGUGCUUGAGGACUGGAGAGGAGACUGGAAUUUACGGUGUAGCAGUGAAAUGCGUAGAGAUCGUAAGGAAGACCAGUGGCGAAGGCGGGUCUCUAGUACGGUACUGACGCUGAGACGCGAAAGCGUGGGGAGCGAACAGG